ACGAACGCUUGCGGCGUGCUUAACACAUGCAAGUCGAACGGAAAGGCCCUGCUUUUGUGGGGUGCUCGAGUGGCGAACGGGGGAGUAACACGUGAGUAACCUGCCCUUGACUUUGGGAUAACUUCAGGAAACUGGGGCUAAUACCGGAUAGGAGCUCCUGCUGCAUGGUGGGGGUUGGAAAGUUUCGGCGGGUGGGGAUGGACUCGCGGCUUAUCAGCUUGUUGGUGGGGUAGUGGCUUACCAAGGCUUUGACGGGUAGCCGGCCUGAGAGGGUGACCGGCUACAUUGGGACUGAGCUACGGCCCAGCCUCCUCCGGGAGGCAGCAGUGCGGAAUAUUGCACAAUGGGCGGAAGCCUGAUGCAGCAACGCCGCGUGCGGGAUGACGGCCUUCGGGUUGUAUACCGCUUUCGCCUGUGCCGAAGCGUGAGUGACGGUAAUGGGUAAAGAAGCACCGGCUAACUACGUG
RNAcentral lists this ribosomal RNA (467 nucleotides) under uncultured bacterium. RNAcentral's name for it is "partial 16S ribosomal RNA". It matches the Rfam family "Bacterial small subunit ribosomal RNA", at positions 29 to 507 of the family's 1533-position model. The record is from RNAcentral.